Molecule: ribosomal RNA, 305 nt
Filed under: uncultured bacterium
Lineage: Bacteria
Description: bacterial SSU rRNA
Rfam family: Bacterial small subunit ribosomal RNA
Source: RNAcentral
ACCCCCUACGGGACGCAGCAGUGGGGGAUAUUGCACAAUGGGGGGAACCCUGAUGCAGCGACGCCGCGUGAACGAAGAAAUAUUUCGGUAUGUAAAGUUCUAUCAGCAGGGAAGAAAAUGACAGUACCUGACCAAGAAGCCCCGGCUAACUACGUGCCAGCAGCCGCGGUAAUACGUAGGGGGCAAGCGUUAUCCGGAUUUACUGGGUGUAAAGGGAGCGUAGACGGCAGGGCAAGUCUGGAGUGAAAGCCCGGGGCCCAACCCCGGGACUGCUUUGGAAACUGCCAUGCUAGAGUGCUGGAGAG